CCGGCUCCGGCGACCGCGGGGGAGAAGCUGUUGGGGGAGGGCCGGAACGCACCGCCAUCGGCGUCCGGGGCGGGGGAGCCGGGAAACCGUCGUCGCCAUCGCCCCGCCAGCCCGAGGCGCGGGAGGGGCCCGGAAAGCUCCCUCCCGCCCGCUCGCCGCUGCCGGCGGCCCCGGGGGCGCCCCUUCCGCGGCCGAGGCCCCCGCUCGCGUGGGGAAGCUUCUACCUGCGAGCCUGCGGCCCCUGCCCCCGGCACCCGAGACAUCCCCGACCCGGCGCGCCGGAUUCUCUGCCAGGUUUUACAGCCUCCCUCGCCUUGGGACCGCCGCGGAGGACCCGUUCCCGCCACUUCGGACCUCGCGAGCGGGGCUGAGCUGCUUGGGUCGGGGACACCACCAGCCUCUGGAGAAACGGCCCGAAGCACCCCGAAGAAGAGGGGGUCCCAGUCCCCUGCCCCUCCCUUGUGCGCACCCCCACCCCCAGCUUGCCUGGAACCUGACUCCACACCUUUGUCGACCGGGACAGGGACUGGGGGUUGCACCCCAGAUCAGAAAGUCAGAGGUGGCCCUCCGAAUCGGCGCGGACUUCCGAGGAACCUCAGCCAAUUCUCGACCCCCUUACCACCUGCAAGGCCUUAGGAAUCGGCUCCAGAAAGCUCGAGCUUAUCUGCGUGUUUCGUUUUAAAAAUCACUUCUAAGAUAAAACCUAACUAGGCUUUCCCCUUCAGACUUUCAGUAACUCCUGUUUGGCAAAUUUUGACAUUCACUCUAUCCUUCGUCUUUGUAAGGACAUAUCAAGACUUAGAAGGCUUUGAUUACACAUACGGAUGGCAUGAGUCGUGAUAUAAAAUAGUAUUGUUUUCACGUGUACUUCGAAGUCAUCUCAUUUGAAAUUAACUGUCAUAAUUGACUAUUUGGAAUAUUCAACCUAAAUACUACCCGCUGCUGUGGUGACGGGGGGUGGAGGAAGCGUGGUGGAACCCCAACACCUAGUGAGGGGUGGCUGAUUAAUACCACGGCUCACAACAUAACAGAGCGGCUCAUUCCAUGAACAACCCCGGGGGGAUUUCGAAUUCUAUCAUCUGGGCAAAAGAUGUGAUGAGUGUAACUUCCUGUUUUCUCCAAACUAAAACACUACGCAGAUUCCUGUACCGCUCUGGGACAGAAAUCCUCAGCCAGAGCAGAGGCCGUCCCCAGAGUCCACACUGUUUCCUGCAUAAAGUGGGUUAUCUCAGAAGAAACAUCCCACUGGUCUGUGUGAUCCUUCUAUUGAAAUGUGGUCUUUUAUCUACAUCUAAGUAUCUCUAGAAGUAAUGCGUUUGUAUGUACUUGUCACUCAGAUAUGUAAUCCCUUAAUUUGUGCGGGGUUUUGGGGUGUGAAAAAUUCUUGGUUUAUAUCCUACACUUUUAAAUAACCUCGUCAAAACUUACAUG
RNAcentral lists this long non-coding RNA (1431 nucleotides) under Homo sapiens (human). RNAcentral describes it as "non-protein coding lnc-EZH2-7:1". The record is from RNAcentral. Lineage: Eukaryota; Metazoa; Chordata; Mammalia; Primates; Hominidae.